Cyprinus carpio carpio is the source of this 1459-nucleotide long non-coding RNA. The record is from Ensembl. NCBI's taxonomy places the organism in Eukaryota, Metazoa, Chordata, Actinopteri, Cypriniformes, Cyprinidae.
UUGCAUUCUUUUAGCCCUUAGUUAUGUACAAAGACAGAAAGCAAAAGUAACUUGGUCAUAGGAAGAGGUAGGGCGUUAUGAGCAUGUAAUAUGAGACGAGUGGAACAUGUGCAGGAAAUGAUCUUCCUCCGAGUCAUCGACUGCGGCAGAGAAAACAAGCAGACAGCACUGGAAGCAGCUAAUGCUCAUCAGAUGGCAUAAUUCAGUGGAAAAUAAAUAGAAAGGAUCAUUCUGUCCAAAGAAAUAUUAGCAUCUCUACAAUCAUCAAACUCCAGUCUAAAGGAACUGUACCUGAGUAACAAUAGCUUCAGGAUUCAGGAGUGAAGCUGCCAACAGGAGAAGCUGAGGUAAUUUUAAAAUCAUAAAUCUUGUCGCUGUUGGACGGAAACCUUGUAUGUCCAAACUAGCUACUUUUCAGGAAAUGAGAAAAACCCUAGUUUUUGAAUAAUUAAACACUGUCGUCAUAUUUGGUGUUUGUCAUUAUAAAUGCCUAUAUUUUGUACAUCAUUAGAACAGCUGCAUCUAAGGCAAUAAGUGCAGUGCUUUACAGUUUUCAUCAACUUAAAGUCUACAAAGUUUAUUGAAGCUAAAUAAGGGCUCAUUUUUUCCUGUUGUUGAAAACAUUUGGCCAAAAUGUAUAAAGAUACAUGUUAUAAAGAUACAAAUGCAGUAUUAAGACAGUAUUGGCUUUGACUAAAUGGCAUAAUUACAUAGAAAAAGUCUUAGAUCUGUGAGAUCAGCUCAUGAAAAAUGGGGGCAAAAACAAAAGUGUUGCGUUUAUAAUUUUGUUCUGUGUAUAUAUGUUUGUGUGUGUGUGUGUAGCCAUCUCAUCAUUUACAUGGCAUAUACAAUGUUGUCCUAUUAAACAGAUAACUAAAUUUGCAAACAACUAAUUUCAAUCUGAAGAAAAUUUCAAUGUGCACAUUUGUUUAAAUGUUCAAUUUAAAUUUAAAAAUGAGUUAUUAGGAUCUAUGUAAAUGUAUUGUUUUAGUAUGGAAAGGAAGUAAAAGUAUUGCAAAAGUACACUAUUGCAUAAAAUAUUAGGCUUUGCCUUGAUAUCAGAUUUGAUGAUGAGUUACAACAAAAUGGAUUGAGAUAAUUAAAAACACUUAUUUACUUUUUGCCCUCACGGUCUCAUGAUGAUCUAAGUGAAAUUAGGUAAAGACCGGACCAACAGUCCAGUACAGGGCUGUAAAAACUCCUACAGAGUUUAGUUCCAACUCAGAAUCAGAAUCAGAAUCAGAAUGAGCUUUAUUGCCAGGUAUGUUUACACAUACGAGGAAUUUGUUUUCGUGACAGAAGCUCCGCAGUGCAUCAGAAUGACAGCGACAGAACAAAAAAACACACAAUAAAAGAAUAAAAAAUACAAAAAAUACAAAUAAGUAGGUAAGGAAUGACAAUAUACAAAUUGACAAUUGUAUGGCAGAUAUAUUACAAUGAGCAGUUAUGUAUGUACAGG